This 318-nucleotide ribosomal RNA is filed under the name uncultured eukaryote. RNAcentral describes it as "partial 18S ribosomal RNA". It matches the Rfam family "Eukaryotic small subunit ribosomal RNA", at positions 1470 to 1796 of the family's 1831-position model. The record is from RNAcentral.
CCCUUAGAUGUUCUGGGCCGCACGCGUGCUACACUGAGUGGAUCAGCGGGUCAGGUUGCGCGAAAGCGUUUCCUAAUCUUUAAAUCCGCUCGUGAUGGGGAUUGACGGUUGCAAUUUUCUGUCAUGAACGAGGAAUACCUUGUAAGCGCGGGUCAUCAUCCCGCGCUGAAUACGUCCCUGCCCUUUGUACACACCGCCCGUCGCUCCUACCGAUUGAAUGUUCCGGUGAAUACUUCGGACUGCGAGGUUUGCAGUUUCUGCGCUCCUUGCGGAAAGUUGAAUAAACCUUAACAUUUAGAGGAAGGAGAAGUCGUAACA